Long non-coding RNA from Colius striatus (speckled mousebird), 497 nucleotides. RefSeq lists it as uncharacterized. Lineage: Eukaryota; Metazoa; Chordata; Aves; Coliiformes; Coliidae. The record is from RefSeq and is a predicted model, not a curated record. The transcript has 3 exons.
CUUUGGGGAGGAAACGCUUUUUGUUUUUCAAUGCAGAAGGUCAGUGUUACUAGAAAAUAAAUAACAUGAAAGAGGCGGAAGAGGACAAGGGAAAUUGCUCCACAGAAGAAAAACAAAGAACAGCAGUCACAAACUUCUCAUGAACUCCUGAACUAUCAAGUUAACCAAGACCUUGCCAAAAGGAAGCUGACACCUCAUCAGAAGAUAUCUGGGGAGAAUGGUACUGCUUGAAUCCUGCCUCUAUCUUCAGAAUGAUAUUUCAGUCUUCAAGGCAUGGCAAUGGAUUUCCACAGGCAGAUGGAUCAGCAGAAAAUUCUGCAGAACACUGGGCAGGGGGAGAGCACCUGUGAAGAAUCAAGAACUGAAAAAAGGCUAUGCAGUGGAUUGGAGCUGUAAAUAUUGGCUCUGAUCCUGCAGAACUUUGGCACCCACUGAGCACCAGCAUGAACAAAGCUACAGCUGCCCGCCUCAGUGGUCUGAUGACUACCUGUUUCAAG